This 447-nucleotide ribosomal RNA is filed under the name uncultured bacterium. RNAcentral describes it as "bacterial SSU rRNA". It matches the Rfam family "Bacterial small subunit ribosomal RNA", at positions 355 to 825 of the family's 1533-position model. The record is from RNAcentral.
UCGGGAAUUUUGGGCAAUGGGCGAAAGCCUGACCCAGCAACGCCGCGUGAAGGAUGAAGUAUUUCGGUAUGUAAACUUCGAAAGAAUAGGAAGAAUAAAUGACGGUACUAUUUAUAAGGUCCGGCUAACUACGUGCCAGCAGCCGCGGUAAUACGUAGGGACCAAGCGUUGUUCGGAUUUACUGGGCGUAAAGCGUGCGCAGGCGGCCGCGCAAGUCAGGUGUGAAAUCCCCGGGCUUAACCUGGGAAUUGCGCUUGAAACUAUGCGGCUUGAGUGUGGCAGAGGGGGGUGGAAUUCCACGUGUAGCAGUGAAAUGCGUAGAGAUGUGGAGGAACACCGAUGGCGAAGGCAGCCCCCUGGGCCAACACUGACGCUCAUGCACGAAAGCGUGGGGAGCAAACAGGAUUAGAUACCCGGGUAGUCCCUGAGCGGGCUGGCAAGGCGCAU